Non-coding RNA from Podarcis lilfordi (Lilford's wall lizard), 70 nucleotides. The record is from the annotation of a GenBank genome assembly. Lineage: Eukaryota; Metazoa; Chordata; Lepidosauria; Squamata; Lacertidae.
GGAUAGCUCAGUUGGUUAGAGCGUGGUGCUGAUAACACUAAGGUUACAGGUUCAAUCCCCAUAAGAUACA